UGAACGCUAGCGGGAUGCCUUACACAUGCAAGUCGAACGGCAGCACGGACUUCGGUCUGGUGGCGAGUGGCGAACGGGUGAGUAAUGUAUCGGAACGUGCCCAGUAGCGGGGGAUAACUACGCGAAAGCGUAGCUAAUACCGCAUACGCCCUACGGGGGAAAGCAGGGGAUCGCAAGACCUUGCACUAUUGGAGCGGCCGAUAUCGGAUUAGCUAGUUGGUGGGGUAACGGCUCACCAAGGCGACGAUCCGUAGCUGGUUUGAGAGGACGACCAGCCACACUGGGACUGAGACACGGCCCAGACUCCUACGGGAGGCAGCAGUGGGGAAUUUUGGACAAUGGGGGAAACCCUGAUCCAGCCAUCCCGCGUGUGCGAUGAAGGCCUUCGGGUUGUAAAGCACUUUUGGCAGGAAAGAAACGUCGCGGGUUAAUACCUCGCGAAACU
This 445-nucleotide ribosomal RNA is filed under the name Achromobacter xylosoxidans. RNAcentral's name for it is "bacterial SSU rRNA". It matches the Rfam family "Bacterial small subunit ribosomal RNA", at positions 30 to 474 of the family's 1533-position model. The record is from RNAcentral. Lineage: Bacteria; Pseudomonadati; Pseudomonadota; Betaproteobacteria; Burkholderiales; Alcaligenaceae.